Molecule: long non-coding RNA, 345 nt
Organism: Pogoniulus pusillus (Red-fronted tinkerbird)
Lineage: Eukaryota; Metazoa; Chordata; Aves; Piciformes; Lybiidae
Exons: 3
Source: RefSeq, a predicted model, not a curated record
AGCAUUCAGAGGACUAAGCACGUUUCAUCUCUGCCUGGGGAAAUAAUGCUGCUUGCUUAAACAGCCUGCUUGUGAUGAACUCCGAGCCUUACCGAGCUACAUGCAAAUUACAGCAGAAAGAAGAACCUCGGGUUAACGGAAUAGACCUAUCACCUCCUAAAACACAAGAGGUAAUGGAGCUAAUCCCAUUGUUAUCCCUCGUGUGUGGGGGUCAGUGCAAACACUAACAAGGAUGCCGGAAUCUGCUACAGUGAAAUAUAUGGCAAGCUAUGUGAUACUUCUGGUAUGGAAGCAGUGAGAAGGAAAUGGAUCUCACUCACCUGAUCAUUCAAGCUUGAUGUGCAC